RNAcentral lists this ribosomal RNA (467 nucleotides) under uncultured bacterium. Its description in RNAcentral is "partial 16S ribosomal RNA". It matches the Rfam family "Bacterial small subunit ribosomal RNA", at positions 28 to 506 of the family's 1533-position model. The record is from RNAcentral.
GACGAACGCUGGCGGCGUGCUUAACACAUGCAAGUCGAACGGAAAGGCCCUGCUUUUGUGGGGUGCUCGAGUGGCGAACGGGUGAGUAACACGUGAGUAACCUGCCCUUGACUUUGGGAUAACUUCAGGAAACUGGGGCUAAUACCGGAUAGGAGCUCCUGCUGCAUGGUGGGGGUUGGAAAGUUUCGGCGGUUGGGGAUGGACUCGCGGCUUAUCAGCUUGUUGGUGGGGUAGUGGCUAACCAAGGCUUUGACGGGUAGCCGGCCUGAGAGGGUGACCGGCCACAUUGGGACUGAGAUACGGCCCAGACUCCUACGGGAGGCAGCAGUGGGGAAUAUUGCACAAUGGGCGGAAGCCUGAUGCAGCAACGCCGCGUGCGGGAUGACGGCCUUCGGGUUGUAAACCGCUUUCGCCUGUGACGAAGCGUGAGUGACGGUAAUGGGUAAAGAAGCACCGGCGAACUACGU